Molecule: ribosomal RNA, 451 nt
Filed under: uncultured bacterium
Lineage: Bacteria
Description: bacterial SSU rRNA
Rfam family: Bacterial small subunit ribosomal RNA
Source: RNAcentral
UCAAGAAACUUCCACAAUGGGCGAAAGCCUGAUGGAGCGACGUCGCGUGAUGGACGAAGUGCUUCGGCACGUAAACAUCUUUUAUGUGGGAUGAAAUUAUUGACAGUACCACAUGAAUAAGGGGCUCCUAACUCUGUGCCAGCAGGAGCGGUAAUACAGAGGCCCCAAGCGUUAUCCGGAAUCACUGGGCGUAAAGGGUGUCGAGGCGGUUGUAUUAGUCGUCCGUAAAAUCUACGAGCUUAACUUGUAGGCGGCGAACGAAACGGUACGACUUGAGGUUUGGAGAGGUGCGUGGAACUCACGGUGUAGGGGUGAAAUCCGUUGAUAUCGUGGGGAACACCAAAGGCGAAGGCAGCGCACUGGCCAAAAUCUGACGCUCACACACGAAAGCUAGGGUAGCGAAGAGGAUUAGGUACCCAAGUAGUCCCUGAGCGGGGCUGGCAAGGCGCAU